Molecule: ribosomal RNA, 253 nt
Filed under: uncultured bacterium
Lineage: Bacteria
Description: partial 16S ribosomal RNA
Rfam family: Bacterial small subunit ribosomal RNA
Source: RNAcentral
UACGGGGGGAGCAAGCGUUGUUCGGAUUUACUGGGCGUAAAGGGCGCGUAGGCGACGCAACAAGUCACUUGUGAAAUCUCCGGGCUUAACCCGGAGCGGCCAAGUGAUACUGUCGUGCUAGAGUGCGGAAGGGGCUACUGGAAUUCUCGGUGUAGCGGUGAAAUGCGUAGAUAUCGAGAGGAACACCUGCGGCGAAGGCGGGUAGCUGGGCCGACACUGACGCUGAGGCGCGAAAGCCAGGGGAGCGAACGGG